This 297-nucleotide ribosomal RNA is filed under the name Helicobacter pylori. RNAcentral describes it as "partial 16S ribosomal RNA". It matches the Rfam family "Bacterial small subunit ribosomal RNA", at positions 416 to 730 of the family's 1533-position model. The record is from RNAcentral. Lineage: Bacteria; Pseudomonadati; Campylobacterota; Epsilonproteobacteria; Campylobacterales; Helicobacteraceae.
UUAAGGAUUGUAAACUCCUUUUGUUAGAGAAGAUAAUGACGGUAUCUAACGAAUAAGCACCGGCUAACUCCGUGCCAGCAGCCGCGGUAAUACGGAGGGUGCAAGCGUUACUCGGAAUCACUGGGCGUAAAGAGCGCGUAGGCGGGAUAGUCAGUCAGGUGUGAAAUCCUAUGGCUUAACCAUAGAACUGCAUUUGAAACUACUAUUCUAGAGUGUGGGAGAGGUAGGUGGAAUUCUUGGUGUAGGGGUAAAAUCCGUAGAGAUCAAGAGGAAUACUCAUUGCGAAGGCGACCUGCU